This 506-nucleotide ribosomal RNA is filed under the name uncultured bacterium. RNAcentral's name for it is "partial 16S ribosomal RNA". It matches the Rfam family "Bacterial small subunit ribosomal RNA", at positions 29 to 523 of the family's 1533-position model. The record is from RNAcentral.
AGUGAACGCUGGCGGUAGGCCUAACACAUGCAAGUCGAACGGCAGCACAGGAGAGCUUGCUCUCUGGGUGGCGAGUGGCGGACGGGUGAGGAAUACAUCGGAAUCUACUUUUUCGUGGGGGAUAACGUAGGGAAACUUACGCUAAUACCGCAUACGACCUACGGGUGAAAGCAGGGGAUCUUCGGACCUUGCGCGAUUGAAUGAGCCGAUGUCGGAUUAGCUAGUUGGCGGGGUAAAGGCCCACCAAGGCGACGAUCCGUAGCUGGUCUGAGAGGAUGAUCAGCCACACUGGAACUGAGACACGGUCCGGACUCCUACGGGAGGCAGCAGUGGGGAAUUUUGGACAAUGGGCGCAAGCCUGAUCCAGCCAUACCGCGUGGGUGAAGAAGGCCUUCGGGUUGUAAAGCCCUUUUGUUGGGAAAGAAAUCCAGCUGGUUAAUACCCGGUUGGGAUGACGGUACCCAAAGAAUAAGCACCGGCUAACUUCGUGCCAGCCGCCGCGGUAA